Molecule: long non-coding RNA, 1263 nt
Filed under: Pongo abelii (Sumatran orangutan)
Lineage: Eukaryota; Metazoa; Chordata; Mammalia; Primates; Hominidae
Description: lincRNA
Source: RNAcentral
GUAAGACAGAAAAGAUCUCCAAGUCCCCACUCGACCCAGGAAGUCCAGCUGGCUUCGCCUCUCACUGGGAUUACAAAUGGUGGAUUGGAAACAGUGUCAGCAUGACUCUCCCACUUGGAAAGACAAAAUGGGCUUAAUUAUUAGAUAAGGAUACGUUUCCAACUGAGGGUGGCAACGUUAUGCUGGAAGAACAUGUGUCAGGAAGACCACAAAAUUUCAUGACUGUACUUGCUACACUUUCAGCAAAAGAGUUAUACAUAUUUUCAGUUCAACAAAGAUUAAGCCAAAGAGAAUUCUUAGAACAUUCCCACUCUUCUUUGGCACACCAAAAGGCAACAAAUGUCAUUUUCUCCCAUGUUUUUAUGUGCAGAUUAGAACAAAGACCAAUUAUCUAUGCAGCUGUCCACAGUGGAUAAAACAAAAAGCAUACAUUUGGUUCAGAGUAAGUCACCUGGGUUGGGCCCAUCCAAGGAAGUUUGAUGUUUCUACUCUCAUGAAAAGUACCAAUGGCACUGCACAGUGAUUAUCUUAGAUAUUAAGGAUAAACACAAAUUUCUCCUUAAAUUUCCAUUUAUUGGAAAUGAUUGGAGAGGGAGGGAACUUCUCCCUCACCUCCACACUGCCUCUUUUCCAACUCUUCUUCCAACACAAAAUAGUUUAAACAGCAAGCACUUAGAGAGCUUUUAGCCUUGCUUGUUGAUUACAAGGCCCAAGUUAGUGUAUGGUUUGCCCAUCGGAGGAAAGCUAAAACAUGGGCCUUCAUGGGUAUUAAAAUUCAAGAAACCUUUUCUAGCAGUUUUUCUAUUUUCUUUAAAGUAACAACCUAUGGACUUCCCCAUCUGACAUUUUCGAGUGAUCCCACUGUGUGAAUGAAAGACUACUUCAGGGUUUGAGGGCAAAGCUGAGAUCUGAGCAACUUACCAGUAAGCAAAGGUAGAACCCAGAGCCCAUCUCUCCUUUUCCACGCUGCUGAGUAAAGUCUGGCUCAAUCAACCUAUCAAUGAAGCAGUGCUUACAACAUUCUCCAAGACCACCCAAAACCCAAACUGGAAAUGAAUCAUGACUAAUCUGACUCGUUUUGGCUCACACAGUGCCCUUCCAAUUUGUAUUUACCUUUACCACCCGGGACCUCACCUUGGACAUGUGUACCAGGAUGUAAGGCAAUAAAUCUAUUCACAAUUCCAAAAGGCCCUGGUCCUCUAUUAAGAUUUCCUGAAGGCUACUUACUUUCUCUACUCAUUAAGAUUUUUGCUUAACUUCAAA